Papaver somniferum (opium poppy) is the source of this 1044-nucleotide long non-coding RNA. RefSeq lists it as uncharacterized. The transcript is spliced from 4 exons. The record is from RefSeq and is a predicted model, not a curated record. Lineage: Eukaryota; Viridiplantae; Streptophyta; Magnoliopsida; Ranunculales; Papaveraceae.
UUUCACAUCUAGGGUUUCUUUGAUUGUUUUUUCUUUAGUUUCUUAUGUUUUAGGGUUAUGAUGUUUAGGGUUAUGAUGUCCAUCGGAAGUAUUCAAUUGGCAAUAGUGUUGCGGGAGUGGGCGUUAUGAGUACUUGUAUCAGAGGCAUUAAAAAAUUAGUCAAGAUGAUUACCGCUGGGAUUCUUUUCCCUUUCCAAGUUCCCUUGCAUGGUUUAUGGUUUGUGCUUAACAAACACACCCUAGAUGUCUUCUCCUUCCUUCAGUUUUUCCUUCGGUAGUAAAGUCCAAGGUUAUCGCGAAGGAUACGGAAGAGGAAAUGGGUGAGUUUUCUAUUACGUCUCAAGCCGAGUAGUCCAGAACACAUCAGCGAACAUGAUUAUUUGGUUAGAGAAUAAGGCUACCAAAAGAGUUUUAACCAAUAUCAAGGGCAAAUGGCAAUACACAUUUUGGAACUUCCGUACAGGGUUAUUUUGCAUCAAUAUCAAGGGAAAAACAAGAAAGCCAAUAUCAAGGGCAAUACCAAAUUUGGCAUUAAGCUGUAAGCAAAGAUGUAUUAUGUUACCGACGGUGUUAUCUUACAAAUUUUGUAGAUUGAUAUCGUUUGUAUGGUCAUAAGAAGGGACACCUUAAAUGUCCAACGGUUAAUUAGCUUACAUACACAACUGUAUAGCCUUUCACUUCCAUGCCCCUGCCUGCUAAAUCGAGCAGACUGAAUUCAUUGACCUGGAGUUGAGUGACAGUUGAAGAGUGGUGGAGAAAUGAAAAGUUUAAUCGGGACAUUGACUCAUUGGUGGUGCGUCACAUUUCUUCCCAAUUUAUGUCUUAGCUGGAACACACAGAAAUUUUACGAUUGGAUCUAAGGCUUCAGUGAGUGAAGACUUUGCAGAACUCAUAGAAAUUUUACGGUCUUAGCUGGUCUUUAUAAAAAGGCGUUAGUCAAAGUAAACCCAUUAUUAUGGGUUUGUACUGUUUUUCAGUAUUUUUCAAUUUAAUUUUUGCUGUUAUGUUAUUUUGCAUGUAUCUAAAAUAUCCUUAUUAAAUAUG